GACGAACGCUGGCGGCGUGCUUAACACAUGCAAGUCGAACGGGCCUUGUCCCCUUUUUUUUUGGGGGUGGGGUUAGUGGCGAACGGGUGAGUAACACGUGAGUAACCUGCCCCUCACUUCUGGAUAACCGCUUGAAAGGGUGGCUAAUACGGGGUGUUCUGGCCUGCUCGCAUGGGUGGGUUUGGAAAGAUUCGACCGGUUUUGGUUGUUUUGGUGGGGGAUGGGCUCGCGGCCUAUCAGCUUGUUGGUGGGGUGAUGGUCUGCCAAGGCUUUGACGGGUAGCCGGCCUGAGAGGGUGGGCGGUCACACUGGGACUGAGACACGGCCCAGACUCCUACGGGAGGCAGCAGUGGGGAAUAUUGCACAAUGGGCGCAAGCCUGAUGCAGCGACGCCGCGUGAGGGAUGGAGGCCUUCGGGUUGUGAACCUCUUUCGCCAGUGAAGAAGGUCCUGCUCUUUGUGGUGGGGUUGACGGUAGCUGGGUUAAUGAAGCGCCGGCUAACUACGUG
RNAcentral lists this ribosomal RNA (508 nucleotides) under uncultured bacterium. RNAcentral's name for it is "partial 16S ribosomal RNA". It matches the Rfam family "Bacterial small subunit ribosomal RNA", at positions 28 to 507 of the family's 1533-position model. The record is from RNAcentral.